Molecule: long non-coding RNA, 533 nt
Organism: Quercus robur (English oak)
Lineage: Eukaryota; Viridiplantae; Streptophyta; Magnoliopsida; Fagales; Fagaceae
Exons: 2
Source: RefSeq, a predicted model, not a curated record
CCUUUCCUAGUUUGCCCAACUUUCCUUACGUGCCAUUGCCUCCUUUGCCCCUAGGGACACCGCUAUACCCUGAGUACAGAUUGCCACCACCAAUUACUACAAUUCCAAUUGUUCCUUACUUUCCCUCAGUGCCAAUCUUCUCUCCACCAGUUACGACCACCACCACCCCUUAAGGAUGAUUAUCCUCCCUUUAUUGGUUUAUAUAUGUGGCACUACCAUGCCCUUAAAUAAAAGGGUAGUAUUUGUUACACCCACGUGUGUUCAACUCAUGAUUUCAAUUAAAAAAAUUUGCUUUUGUGCAAUAGCUUUUAUCCUAAAUAAAAAGGUCCAUUCAUAAUCAUAAACACUCUCGUUGUAUGUACUCCUUGUUGGAGACUUAUGUUGUUUGUGGACUUAAUGUGCCAUAUAUUACUAUAAAAUAAUUUUCUCUGUUUCGUGUAUAGAUUUGUACUGGUAGGAACUAUGUAUAUGAUUGAGAAUUCUGAUGUAAUUGGUGAUAUAUUGAUUUAAUGCUAUGAGGUUGUUCUUAGCUA